RNAcentral lists this non-coding RNA (356 nucleotides) under Modiolus philippinarum. The record is from RNAcentral. Lineage: Eukaryota; Metazoa; Mollusca; Bivalvia; Mytilida; Modiolidae.
CUUCGGCCUUGAGCCACGCGUGUGGCUCUUACUAACCCUAACUUAUUUAAUUCAUCUCAUAGCAUUUUCUGUUGUUUUUCACGAAAUGUUUUCAACAGAAAGAGGUGAAUGGUCCUGCGACGCUAAAAAAACAUUUCUUGGUUGAAGUUGUUUGUCUCGAGCAUGAUAAACUGUUGGAUUACACUGUACAAGAUACGGAAAAUGACAAUUUGGUUUUCGUUUCCAUGUUUUUCUGUAACAAGGCGGUGUUUUCCAGUAGCAGACUUAUUAUGUUUCCCUGACAUAAAUUAAUAAGCAGGACUUCAAAGCGGUCAUGUAUGCAGAACGCAAAUGGCCUUGUUGACUUGCUUACAAUA